RNAcentral lists this small nucleolar RNA (101 nucleotides) under Chinchilla lanigera (long-tailed chinchilla). The record is from RNAcentral. Lineage: Eukaryota; Metazoa; Chordata; Mammalia; Rodentia; Chinchillidae.
AAGAAAACAAAAUUUUAGCUCUGCAUGAUGCGGCAGAAGCGAAAGGCACCAGAUUUGCUGGAGUAACUGUGGUAGCUGCUGAGGCGUACCCCAGUACAGUG